UAAGCGGAGGAAAAGAAACUAACAAUGAUUCCCUUAGUAACGGCGAGUGAAGGGGGAAAAGCUCAAAUUUUAAAUCUGCUAGGUUUUACCUAUUAGAGUUGUAUUUUGAAGAAGCGUUUUCCGCGUCUCGGUUGACCCAAAUCCUUUGGGAUGAGGUAUCAUGGAGGGUGAGAAUCCCGUCCGGUUGACCUUAUGACGCUCUACGAUACGUUUUCAAAGAGUCGAGUUGUUUGGGAUUGCAGCUCAAAAUGGGAGGUAAAUUUCUCCUAAGGCUAAAUAUUGGCGAGAGACCGAUAGCGAACAAGUACCGUGAGGGAAAGAUGAAAAGAACUUUGAAAAGAGAGUAAAAUAGUACGUGAAAUUGUUGAAAGGGAAACGAUUGAAGUCAGUCGUACCGACGAGAAAUCAGCUUUUCGAGUGUGAACUUGUGGGCGUGUGAGAGUUUUAAACCCUCGCUGUUUGCAACGUUUGUGCUUUUGGGUGUACUUUUCGUAUUGGUAGGCCAACAUCAGUUUCGAGCACCAUAAAUGACCGGCGGAAUGUAGCUUCGAUCUCGUAUUGAAGUGUUAUAGCUUCUGGUAGAUGUGGUGAUUGGGACUGAGGAUUGCAACGAAUACCUUUUGAGGCUAUCCGUCUGAUCUCUGAAAGUCGCUUAGGUGCCGAAAGCAUGCUUUACGGUUAUUUAAGUUUGACGGUCAAAAGGUUAGAACGUGAUUACAUUCGUUAAGGAUGUUGGCGUAAUGGCUUUAAACGACCCGUCUUGAAACACGGACCAAGGAGUCUAACAUAUGUGCGAUGUUU
RNAcentral lists this ribosomal RNA (801 nucleotides) under uncultured Glomeraceae. Its description in RNAcentral is "LSU rRNA". It matches the Rfam family "Eukaryotic large subunit ribosomal RNA", at positions 47 to 694 of the family's 3401-position model. Lineage: Eukaryota; Fungi; Glomeromycota; Glomeromycetes; Glomerales; Glomeraceae. The record is from RNAcentral.